GUACCCUACGGGACGCAGCAGUGAGGAAUAUUGGUCAAUGGCCGCAGGGCUGAACCAGCCAAGUCGCGUGAGGGAUGACGGUCCUAUGGAUUGUAAACCUCUUUUGUCAGGGAGCAAAGGGCGCCACGUGUGGCGUUUUGCGAGUACCUGAAGAAAAAGCAUCGGCUAACUCCGUGCCAGCAGCCGCGGUAAUACGGAGGAUGCGAGCGUUAUCCGGAUUUAUUGGGUUUAAAGGGUGCGCAGGCGGAAUGUCAAGUCAGCGGUAAAAUUUCGGGGCUCAACCCCGUCGUGCGGUGGAACUUGCG
This 305-nucleotide ribosomal RNA is filed under the name uncultured bacterium. RNAcentral's name for it is "bacterial SSU rRNA". It matches the Rfam family "Bacterial small subunit ribosomal RNA", at positions 334 to 638 of the family's 1533-position model. The record is from RNAcentral.